AGUGCAGAUGGAGAUGCUAUUUUUGUUUUUGUUUUUCCCUCCUCUUCUGGAUUUGGUACCAAAGGAAAAGUCGUCAUGUGCCAGUCUACUGCCCUUAUGUGAUGGAAAGCGAGCGAGAGCGAUGAGACCAUGAGCUUGGUUGAUGCCACACAAAAGCCGUCUAUCUGGCAGCAGAAGAGCCAUCACUGUCAGUGAGAUAAGUAUCUGUUUUGGUGAGGGCUCUGCUCAUGGCCCACGUUGAUGCUGGUAGGGAUGCCCCGUUAGCUAGGGCUGGGUUUGUAAGAAAAGGUUCCUGACUAGCUGUGGUUGUAAGAGAGACAAGGUUCCCAAUUUCAGGGGCUGAUGAUUCCUUUGGUCAGGAGCAGUGUGUCCUAAGCAGCAGAAGGUAGCAUCUAGAGGAUGACUCCAGGUGUCGAGUUAUUUGCCUUCCUCCCACGUUUCUCUGUCUUCUCUAUUGUGUUGGCCAACACUCUCGCUCUUUCAUUCUCCCUUCCUUGCCUUUCCUGGUGCCGUCUCCCUACGUAGGAUGCGGGAAAAGGGUGCUAGGUGUGCAUCCACACAGUCUGUCUUUGGGACCCAUGAAGACUUAGGAGGGUAUGAAAAUCAUGCAUAUUAGUGGGUGCCACAGUGGAGCAAUGUCUGUCGGUGUUGACUUGGUCUUUAAUCAUCGCCUGGGGCUGAUGUAGACCAAAUGAGAGAGGGAGGCAGAGAUUACGGCAAGAUUUCACAUACCUUCAGAGCUUUGUGUAAUGCUGACUCACCCUUGGCUUUUGCAACUGCACUGCAGAGGAAUUGUCCAGGAGCGCUGUCUGGAGGAGAGACUCUCAAAAGUGGACCUGUACAUCCUUCUAAGCAGACGUGAACAGUCCUCAGCUUUCUGCCUCCUGCAUAACUGGCUUACCAAGGGAAAAGAAGUCACGUAUCAGUCUACUGUCCUCAUGCGAAGGAAAGCGAGACCGACGAGACCGCGAUCAUUGUCGAAAUCAGGCAUUAGCUGUACAUCUGGGAGCGGAGCAGUCACCGCUGUCAGUGAGAUAAAUGUCUGGUUUGGUGAGGGAUCUGCUCAUGGCCCACCUGGCUCCAGUUUGCAGAGGAAUCAUCCAGGAGCCCUUGCCGACGAGAAUAUGCAGAAGUGGACGUGAGCAGCCUGGAAAUCCUUCUAAGGAGACCUCAACAGUCCUCAGGUUUUUGCCUUCUGCCUAACUGGCUGUGAUAGCAAGAGAAAAGAAGUCACAGGCCAGAGUCUACUGCCCUCGUGCAAUGGAAAGAGAGCAAGAGCGAUGAGUCUGCAAGUGGUGUUGAUGCGACGCAGAAGGCGUCCAUCUGGGAGCGGAACCGCCACCACUCUCAAUGAGAUAAGUGUCUUCUUUGGUGAUCGCUCUGCUCAAAGCCCAUCUUGCUCCUGGUAGGGACACCCCGUUAGCUGGGGCUGGGUUUGUAAGAAAAGGUUCCUGACUAGUUGUGGUUACAAGGGAGACGAUGUCCCCAUUUUCAGGGGCUGCUCAUGUCUCUGGCCAGGACCAGUGUGUCCUCCGCAGCAUAUUAGAUCCAGGGGGAUGACUCCAGCUGGUGAGUUUCUUGACUCCCUCCAACGUUUUUCUCUCUCUCUCUCUCUCUCCCCUCUAAUGUGUUGGCCAACACACACUCUGUCUGUCUGUCUUUCACUCUCUCUCUGUCCUUGCCUCCUCUUGUGCUGUCUUCCAUCAUAGGACACGGGCAGGUGUGUUAGGUGUGCAUCCCCACAGGCUAGGUCUUGUGAGCUAUGAACAAGUAGGGGACCGAAAUGAUGCAGGGCAGUGGACGCUAGAGUGAAGCGGUGACUGUGGGUGUUGACUGAGUCUCUGCUCUAGUAGGGCUGAUGUGGGAGGCAGGGAUGAGGGCAAGAUUUCACACACCAAUUGAAUUUUUUGUAGUGAGGGCUCUUGGUUGGCUUAUUUGCUGCACUUGUAGAGGAAUUAUCCAGGAGCAGCAGCCGGAGGGGAAAUUGGCAGAUGUGGGCCUGAGGAGCCUGGACAUUCUUCUAAGGAGACAUAAACAGUCCUCGGCUUUCUGCCUCGUGCAUAACUGGCUGUGGGUUUGGUGUGUCUGACCAGAGUCAUCUGUGCAGAGUGACUAUUUCAGGUGUCGUCGCAAGGGUACCAAGGGAAAAGAAGUGACAAGUCAGAGUCUGCUGCCCUCAUGCGAUGGAAAGCGAGCGAGAGUGAUGGGACUGCGAGAAUUAUUGAUGCCUUGAAAAAGCCGUCCAACGGGGAAUGGAACAGUCAUCACUGUCAAUGAGAUAAGUGUCUGUUUUGGUGAUUGCUCUGCUCACAGCCCACCUUGCUCCUGAAAGGGAUGCCCCGUUUGCUGAGGCUGUUUGUAAGAAAAGGUUCCUGACUAGCUGUGGUUUUGAGAGAGAGAAGAUCCCCAUUUUUAGGGGCUGCUCAGUUUUCUGGCCAGGAGCAGUGUGUCCUACGCAGCAGAAGGUUGCAUCUAGGAGAAUGGGUCCAGGUGGUGAAUUGCUUGCCUUUCUCUCGUGUUUCUCUCUCUCUUCUCUAGUGUGUUGGCCAACACUCUUUCUCAAUCUGUCCUUGCCUUUCCUUGUGCUGUCUCCCUUCUUAGGAUAUCGGCAGGCGAGCUAGAUGUGCACCCCCACAGGUUGUGUCUUGGGAGCCAUAAAGAAGUAGGAGGGGACAAAAAUCAUGCAGGGCAGUCGGUGCGAGACUGGAGCGGUGACUGUUGGUGUUGUGGGGCUAAGACAGAUUGAAAGCGACGCAGGGAAGAGGGCCUUAAUUGGGGUCUAUGUAGUGCAGGAGUUCUCAAACUGGGGUUUAGGUCCCGUCAGGGGGCUGCAAGGUUGUUAUUUGGGGGGUUGUGAAAUGUCAUCCUCCAUCCUAAACAUCACUUUGCUUCCAGCAUUUAUAAUGGUGUUGAAUAUACAAAAAGUGUUUUUAAUUUAUAAGGGAAGGGUCACACUCAGAAGCUUUCUAUGUAAAAGGGAUCAUCAGUACAAAAGGUUGAGAACCACUGGUGUAGUGAUAGUUCUUGCUUGCCUUUAUUAGUUUGCAGAGGAAUUGUCCAGGAGUCUCAGCUGGAGAAGAAGCUGGCAGAAGUGGACCUGAACUGCUUGGACAUCCUUCUAAGGAGACAUGAACAGUCCUCAGCUUUCUGCAUUCUGGAUAACUGGCUAUGAGUAAGAAUUUGCAGAGGAAUCGUCCAGGAGCCCCAGCCAGAUGAGAAUGUCAGGAGUGGACCUGAGCAGCCUGGACAUCCUUCUAAGGAAACAAGAAUAGUCCUCAGGUUUCUGCAUAACUGGCUUACCAAGCAAAAAGAAGUCACAUGUCAAAGUCUACUGCCCUUAUGUGACGAGUGACGAGACUGCGAGCGUUGUUGGUGCCAGGCAGGAGCCGUCCAUCUGGGAGCAGAACAGCUGCUACUAUCACUGAGAUAAGUAUCUGUUUUGCUGAGGGUUCUGCUCACGGCCCACCUGGCUACAGGUAGAGACACCCCGUUAGGUGGGGCUGGGUUUGUAAGAAAAGGUUCCUGACUAGCUGUGGUUUUGAGGGAGACACGGUCCCCAUUUUCAGGGGCUGAUGAUUUCUCUGGCCAGGAUCGGUGUGUCCUCGGCAGGAGAAGGUUAGAUCCAGGAGGAUGACUCCAGGUGACAAGUUGCUUGCCUUCCUCCCGUGUUUCUCAUUUUCUCGCUCUCUGUCUCUCUAGUGUGUUGGCCAACGCUCUCUCUUAAUCUGUCCUUUCCUUUCCUUGUGCCAUUUCCCUUCUUAGGACACAGGCAGGCCUGCGAGGUGUGCAUCUCCACAGGUUAGGUCUUGAAAGCCCUGGAGUAGUAGGAGGGGACGAAAACCAUGCGGGGUAGUGGGUGCGAGAGUGCAGCAGUGACUGUCAGUGUUGAAUCGGUCUCUGUUCAAGUGGGGCUGAUGUAGAUGGGGUGGAAGAGGGAGGCAGGAUUGAGGGCAACGUUUCAAGUACCAUUAGAGCUGUGUGUAGAGAUGGCGCAUGCUUGGCUUUUGCAGGUGCACUUCCAGAGGAAUUGUCCAGGAGCUCAAGCCGGAGGAGAAACUGGUAGAGGUGGAUCUGAGCAGCUUGGACAUCGUUCUAACCAGACAGGAACAGUCCUCAGGUUUCUGCCUUAUGAACAACUGGCUGUGAGUAAGAGUACCAAGGAAAAAUAAGUCACAUGUCAGAGUCUACUGCCCUCAUGCAAUGGAAAGUGAGUGAGAGCAGCGAGCCUGUGAGCAUUGUUCAUGCCAGGCAAGAGCCGUUCAUUUGGGAGCCAAGCAGAUGCCACUGUCAGUGAGAUAAGUGUCUGUUUUGCUGAGGGUUCUGUUAACAGCCCAUCUGACUCCAGUGUGUCCUCCGCAGGAGAAGGUUGGAUCCAGGAGGAUGACUCCAGAUGGUGAGUUACUUGCCUUUCUCCUGUGUUUCUGUCUCUCUCUCUCUUUCUCUAGUGUGUUGGCCAACACUCUCUUUCUCUCUCUGUCUCUGUCCUUGCCUCUCCUUGUGCCAUCUCCCUUCACAGAAGAGGGGCAGGAGUGCUAGGUGUGCAUCCCCACAGGCUUGGUCUUGGGAGCUAUGAACAAGUAAGAGGGGAUGAAAAUCAUGCAGGAUAGUGGGCGCUAGAGUGGAGCAGUGUCUGUGGAUGUUGACUCAGUCUCUGUUCAUUGAGUCCGGGGGAUGGAGAUGGAAUGGGAGAGGGAGGCUGGGAUGAGGACAUUCAUAGAG
Molecule: long non-coding RNA, 4719 nt
Organism: Mauremys reevesii (Reeves's turtle)
Lineage: Eukaryota; Metazoa; Chordata; Testudines; Geoemydidae
Exons: 10
Source: RefSeq, a predicted model, not a curated record